AUUGCCUACGGGAGGCAGCAGUGAGUAAUAUUGGUCCAUGUUCUUACGCCUGAACCAGCCAAGUCGCGUGAGGGAAGACUGCCCUAUGGGUUGUAAACCUCUUUUGUCAGGGAGUAACGCCGGCUACGUGUAGCCGGACUGAGAGUACCUGAAGAAAAAGCAUCGGCUAACUCCGUGCCAGCAGCCGCGGUAAUACGGAGGAUGCGAGCGUUAUCCGGAUUUAUUGGGUUUAAAGGGUGCGUAGAUGGGUUGUUAAGUCAGUUGUGAAAGUUUGCGGCUCAACCGUAAAAUUGCAAUUGAUACUG
RNAcentral lists this ribosomal RNA (305 nucleotides) under uncultured bacterium. RNAcentral's name for it is "bacterial SSU rRNA". It matches the Rfam family "Bacterial small subunit ribosomal RNA", at positions 334 to 635 of the family's 1533-position model. The record is from RNAcentral.